UUGGAAAAGUAAAGGGAUCUCAGAUACCAGAGAGCUGCCAAUAUGACUGGACCCAGUGUUUCUGUUAGCUAAGCUGCACAUGAUUAGCACCAUGUCAUACAGCUUCUAUGAAAGCUAACUGGAAGCUAAGUUAUGGCUUUAACCCUUCGCCGUAUUGUAUUUAAAUACACCCGCUGACAUUACCUUUCACAAUCAGUUUACGUAAUGUGUGAAAACCCCUACGAGGCAGACGUUUACAGCCGCAAUAGGAGCAAACGACCUGGAUUUCGUACAAUUAACAGGCCAGAAAUGAAUAGCUGUGCUGCUGCUAGGGACCACCAGAAGCGCUUCACUCGGCCAGCAUAUGAUAUCACCAGGCUGGUUGUUGAUCAGAGAGGGGAGGAGGAGCAGAGCGCAUACCGACACCGUCCACCAGAGGGCGUCCUAACAGCGGAAGCAUGACGUCAUACACGCGGGGUAUGACCUAUCCAGUUCGAACCAUGCUAAUGCCCUCUGCUGGCUAAGGAUGGCAUUGCGUAUGGCUGCCAGCAGCUCAUCAGUGCAGCUCCAGGUGCUGGGCUCCAGGGUGUAGAAGAG
Long non-coding RNA from Xiphias gladius (swordfish), 576 nucleotides. RefSeq lists it as uncharacterized. The record is from RefSeq and is a predicted model, not a curated record. NCBI's taxonomy places the organism in Eukaryota, Metazoa, Chordata, Actinopteri, Istiophoriformes, Xiphiidae. The transcript is spliced from 3 exons.